ACUGGCGUCGUGGGUGUGGGGCCUGGGCAGUCACAGGGCCCUGUUCUUAGAAGGUGCCCCGGCUUGCUUUAAUGCUGUGUUGUUGUCCUUUUGAAAGCCUUACUAUUUUAACAAGGGGCCCUGCAUUUUUAUAUUGCACAGGGCCCUGCAAUUAUGCAGCCAUUCCUGCUUUUGAUCUCACUUACCCCACAGCCAUAAUGGAAGAGCGCCUGGAAGGAGUCCUUAUCCUGAUUCCCAGAUGGUGAAACUGAGUGCCAGGAGGGGCAGUGCUGAAGCCGAGACCAGACAGGAUCCCUCGGGUGGAAUCCAGGGCUGCUGUUUCUCUUGGGGGCUCCUCCUCAGUGAAUGGAUGGGUGGCACCUGCGAGCAGGAUGGUGUGUCCCCGGCUAAAUCCACAGGCGCUCCACUCUGUCCCAGAGAGCCCACAGCCAAAAACUUCGUCCUGUCCUGGAAAAGCUUCACUGCCUUCCAACAGAGCCUUCCUGCAUGCCGAGGUUGAAGAGGUGUCCGCUGAGUGCUCUGUCUUCUGGGAAUUUUGGCUGUUUCCUGCAACCUAUCAUCAGAUGCCACACUUAUGAGACCCUCAUCCUUCUGCUCACUCUCUUCCAUUGUUUCACUCAUUAAAAAUAUAUAUUUUAAGCAA
Molecule: long non-coding RNA, 643 nt
Organism: Homo sapiens (human)
Lineage: Eukaryota; Metazoa; Chordata; Mammalia; Primates; Hominidae
Source: Ensembl